Grus americana (Whooping crane) is the source of this 2824-nucleotide long non-coding RNA. RefSeq lists it as uncharacterized. Lineage: Eukaryota; Metazoa; Chordata; Aves; Gruiformes; Gruidae. The transcript is spliced from 3 exons. The record is from RefSeq and is a predicted model, not a curated record.
GAACGGAAGGGGAGGGAAGCGGGAGAGGCGCUGGGUUCCCCGGGGCAGGAAGCGGCGGCCGGGGGCUCCGGGAAGGGCCCGGGUGAGGGGCGCCUCCGGGUCCCGGCAGCCAUGCCCUUGUCUCCCUCCCGGGCACGGAGCCGGGGCCCGGCGGGGCGGCGAAGCGCGGUGAGGGACCGGGACAGGGAGCGGCAGCACCGAGCCCAGGUGAGGGACGCCGGGGGGUUCCGGGGCUGGGAGGGGGCGGUCUGGCGCCGGGGGCGGCUGCUGGGCGCGGGCCGGGCCCUGCCGGGGAGCCCCAGCCCCGGGGGCCUCGCUGGGGACGGCCCUGCCCGGCCCCGGCCCUCUGCCCGCCGGGGCUGGCCGUGCAGCCCAAGGCCGGCCCUGCAUCGGUGUAGCUCCAGCCCAGGGAAAUUUCAGCUCCAGCCCUACAGUUUUUAUUUGAACUCCAGUUCUGUGGUCUUUGGGUUUGCUCCAGCCCCACAGCAGUGAUUUCGGCCCCAGGCCUAUGGUCCUUAGCCCAGCUCUGUGUGAUUUCAGCCUCAGCCCUUCUGGUCUGUAUUUCAGCUCCACUCCCAGCCCGACUGCAGUGAUUUCAGCUCCAGCCCUACAGUUUUUAUUCCAGCUCUGAGUGAUUUCAGUUCUGGCCCUACAGUAUUUAUUUCAGCUCCAGGUUCGGUGUUUCAGCUCCAGCCGCAGUCGUUCUUCAGCCCCAGCUCUGUCACAUCUCAGCUCCAGCCCCACAGCAGUGAUUUCAGCUCCAGCCCUGCCAUCUUUAGUCCAGCUCUGGGUGAUUUCAGCUCAGGCCCUACAGUAUUUAUUUCAGCUCCAGGUUCAGUAUUUCAGCUGUUAGAUUUCAGCUCCAUUCCCAGCCCCACAGCAGUGAUUUCAGCCCCAGCCCUACCAUCUUUAGUCCAGCUCUGGGUGAUUUCAGCUCAGGCCCUACACUCUGUAUUUCAGCCCCUGCCCUCAAGGAUUUCUUUCAGCUCCGGGCACAGUUGUUAUUCAGCUCCAGCUUUGUCAUGUUUCAGCCCCAGCCCUACAGUUCUUAUGGCAGCUCUGGCCCUGAAGGAUUUAUUUCAGCUCCAGGUUCAGUAUUUCAGCUGUUAGAUUUGAGCUCCACUCCCAGCCCCACAGCAGUGAUUUCAGCCCCAGCCCUACCAUCUUGAUUCCAGCUCCAGAGAUUUCAGCCCCACAGCUUUUAUUCCAGCUCCAUUCCCAGCCCUACAGUUUUUAUUUCAGCUCUGGCCCUACAGUAUUUAUUUCAGCUCCAGGUUCGGUGUUUCAGCUCCAGCCGCAGUCGUUCUUCAGCCCCAGCUCUGUCCUGGCUCAGCUCCAGCCCCACAGCAGUGAUUUCAGCUCCAGCCCUGCCAUCUUUAGUCCAGCUCUGGGUGAUUUCAGCUCAGGCCCUGUGGUUUUUAUUUCAGCUCUGAGUGAUUUCAGCCCCAGCCCUACAGUUUUGAUUUCAACUCCAGCUCCAGGUUUGGUAUUUCAGCUCCAGCCCCACAGCAGUGAUUUCAGCCCUGGCCCUACAGUUUUUAUUUCAGCUCUGAGUGAUUUCAGCUCUGGCCGUACAGUAUUUAUUUCAGCUCUGGCCCUGAAGGAUUUCUUUCAGCUCCAGCCCCAGGUUCAGUAUUUCAGCUGUUAGAUUUCAGCUCCGGCCCUACAGUUUUUAGUCCAGCUCUGUUAGAUUUCAGCCCCAGCUGUACAGUUUUUAUUUCAGCUUCAGGUUUGGUAUUUCAGCUCCAGCUGCAGUCAUUCUUCAGCCCGAGCCCCACAUCAGACAUUUCAGCCCCGGCACUACAGUUUUUAUUCCAGCUCUGAGUGAUUUCAGCUCCAGGUUUGGUGUUUCAGCUCCAGCCGCAGUCGUUCUUCAGCUCCAGCUCUGUCACAUCUCAGCCGCAGCCCCACAGCAGUGAUUUCAGCUCCAACCCUGCCAUCCUGAUUUCAUCUCCCACCCUACAGUAGCUAUUGAACCCCAGGAUUUCCACUCCAGGCCUGUGCUGUUUCCCCUCCCACCCCCCCCCCACUCUUUAUUUCACCCCCCAGCCUCACAGACUUUCUUACGGCUCCAGCUCUGCGUUGUUUCAGCUUCAGCCCUGCAGUGUUUAGCUCAGCCUCAGCUCUACAUCUUCCUGCUGCCUCCGUGUUCUCACAGCAGCUCUGGGGGCUGUUGAUAAGAGGGGAGUUUGGCCUGGUGCAUGCUGGCAUCCCAUGUUUCAGGGGCAAAUAAAACCAGACCCCCACCUCUGCUUGUUUUCAGGCCCAGAAACACAGCACUCUGGGGACUUUUGGAGCAGCUGAACCCCAGGACUGAGCUGGGCUGUUCAGCCCCAACCACAGAACUUCAUCCUCCUUUGGGGGGCUGGAAACACCCUUGAGGCUGCUGCUGUGGCCCAUGUGUGAAGGGAAAGGGGGGCCACAGCCCAGGGAGUGCUUGGGAACUGCAGGCACCCACCCAGACAGGGAAAGCUUCAUUGCACUUUAUUCCACUUGAUUUUUCAAUUAUCGUUAUGCAUUACACUUCUUGUAAUAAACCAACACAAUAGCUUUAUUAGCAGUACUAGUUACAGUAUUGUUUAAAAGCCAAGCACGCCCCCCUCCCCCCACCCCCCCACUCGCGGCAACAUCCGCGGGGAGCCGGGCCCGGGAACCCCCACGCAGCCCGGCCGCGCCCCGACCCCCCACCCGACCCCCGCUGGGGCUCGGCACCCGCCCCGUGUAGCGGCCGGCGCCCCUCCUCGCUCGGCGCCGCUCCGGCCGCCGCUGCCCGACACAAGCGGGGAAGAGCCAACAGAACGCGACCUGGCUGUCACGCCGGGCA